AGAAAGCAAAACACCAUUACUCACUGAGCAAUCCUGCAGUAUAGAAAGCGCCUUCUCGGGGUUUCUUUUACAGAGGGGUUGAAUUAAUGAAUCAAAUAAGCGUUUCUCCAUCUGGGUAUUCUUCUCCUUCAAGCACUGAACUGCCUCAUCAUAUUUAUCCUCUUUGACAAGCGCUUCUAUGAAAAUUCUGCGUGUCUUGGAAUCUCCUUUGAAUUGGUUUGAUUUCACCAAAUGUAUGAUUAGUUUGAAUCUUUU
Molecule: unclassified non-coding RNA, 255 nt
Filed under: Hevea brasiliensis (rubber tree)
Lineage: Eukaryota; Viridiplantae; Streptophyta; Magnoliopsida; Malpighiales; Euphorbiaceae
Source: RNAcentral